AAAUCUUUUCCUCACAUGAGGAAAAGCUGAAAGAUGGUUUCGGCUAUCACUUACAGAUGGGCCCGCGGCGCAUUAGCUAGUUGGUGAGGUAACGGCUCACCAAGGCCACGAUGCGUAGCCGACCUGAGAGGGUGAUCGGCCACACUGGGACUGAGACACGGCCCAGACUCCUACGGGAGGCAGCAGUAGGGAAUCUUCCGCAAUGGACGAAAGUCUGACGGAGCAACGCCGCGUGAGUGAUGAAGGUUUUCGGAUCGUAAAACUCUGUUGUCAGGGAAGAACAAGUACCGGAGUAACUGCCGGUACCUG
This 309-nucleotide ribosomal RNA is filed under the name Bacillus sp. RKVR_U3. RNAcentral's name for it is "bacterial SSU rRNA". It matches the Rfam family "Bacterial small subunit ribosomal RNA", at positions 173 to 481 of the family's 1533-position model. Lineage: Bacteria; Bacillati; Bacillota; Bacilli; Caryophanales; Bacillaceae. The record is from RNAcentral.